CCCGCUGAAUUUAAGCAUAUUAAUAAGCGGAGGAAAAGAAACUAACAAGGAUUCCCUCAGUAACGGCGAGUGAAGCGGGAAGAGCUCAAAUUUGAAAUCUCCGAUGCUUGCAUCGGCGAGUUGUAGUUGCGAGAAGCACUUUCUAGGCGGAUCGACGGUGCCUAAGUUGCUUGGAACGGCACGUCGCAGAGGGUGACAACCCCGUCUGUGGCGCCGCCGGCCGCCGACGAUGUGCUUUCGAAGAGUCGGGUUGUUUGGGAAUGCAGCCCAAAACGGGUGGUAAACUCCAUCUAAAGCUAAAUACUGGCGUGAGACCGAUAGCGAACAAGUACCGUGAGGGAAAGAUGAAAAGAACUUUGAAAAGAGAGUUAAAAAGUACGUGAAACCGUCGAAAGGGAAACGAAUGGACUCAGCAAUGCGCCCUCUGAGAUUCAGCCGGUGGGUGGCGGCGGCGCCGGGUUUGCGGAUCUGAAUGGACCGCGGCCUGGCGCCCGCCUCUCCCCGCCGUCGCACUUCUCUGGGGCGCGCGUCAACGUGGGUUGGGACUGGGUCUGAAAGGCGCCGGGAAGGUAGGUGUGGGCCUUCGGGUCCGUUCUGUUACAGCCCGGUUCUCUCAUGGCUCGGGCCCGACCGAGGAGCGACACGGGGCAUGCCUCCUGUGGCUAGGGUCCCGCCCUUCCGGCCGGCUGUCCAGUGCGGUGGACUGCUUGCAGUGCUCCGCGACGGCUGCCGGUCGUUGGGGUGGUGAUCUCGUACCAUGCCCCUAGGAUGUUGGCGGUCAUAUGGGUGC
RNAcentral lists this ribosomal RNA (790 nucleotides) under Platygyra sinensis. RNAcentral describes it as "partial large subunit ribosomal RNA". It matches the Rfam family "Eukaryotic large subunit ribosomal RNA", at positions 24 to 641 of the family's 3401-position model. The record is from RNAcentral. Lineage: Eukaryota; Metazoa; Cnidaria; Anthozoa; Scleractinia; Merulinidae. RNAcentral also lists the same sequence under 2 other names.